UUCUAUCAUCCGACACACACAACCUAGCUAGGUUAAAUGGUAGGCACAAGCCAUAUGUUUGCUUCCACAAUCUAACUUGAUUAACUACAAAAUGCCUUAUCAUCAUCUUAUCAAAAGCAAAAUGGCAUAUGUUGGCUUCCUGGUGACUAUCCAAUAUCAUGAACACCUCCAAGGCUUAUGUCCCACCUGAAUACGAAAAAACACAAAUGCACACGGAUAAAAAAUACAGAUAAAGAUGACUACAUGUUGCUUCAAACUAGAUUCCUAUGCUUUUUGCCCUUCCACAAAAUUUAAGGAGAGUUUGAACAAGAAUCUGCAUAUACCUGUAAGAAUCGAGAGGCGCCAAGUUACAUUCAACAUAGUUGCAUUCAAAUAACAGAAAAAACUCAGUCCUGACUGCAGAAGAUUGAUGAUGGAGAGCACAACAUUGAGCCCAUCUAGAUCUCACCACGACAUGUCUUCCUCAACCUCGUCGCUACUGGAUCCAAAGGACCUCAUACUCGCUGGCAGAGAAUCAUCGCAGAGGAGGAGGGAGUCGAUGGGAGGAAUCAAGUAGAGGAUGGAGAAGGCGAGGAGAUUUACUCACAUGUGUCCUCCGAUUAGCUGCAGCGACAAGCCAAUGAGAGGGAGAGGCCACAGCUGCCAGAACUGUUGUGGCGGCUCGGGUGGGUAUGGCAACCCCGACGAGCGCGCAGUGGGAAUGGUGGCCAACCACGACGGCAAGGACGACGGCCUAGAC
This 739-nucleotide long non-coding RNA is filed under the name Sorghum bicolor (sorghum). RNAcentral's name for it is "long non-coding RNA (SBIC_LNC009838)". The record is from RNAcentral. Lineage: Eukaryota; Viridiplantae; Streptophyta; Magnoliopsida; Poales; Poaceae.